Molecule: ribosomal RNA, 432 nt
Filed under: uncultured Sphingobacterium sp.
Lineage: Bacteria; Pseudomonadati; Bacteroidota; Sphingobacteriia; Sphingobacteriales; Sphingobacteriaceae
Description: bacterial SSU rRNA
Rfam family: Bacterial small subunit ribosomal RNA
Source: RNAcentral
GAGUUUGAUCAUGGCUCAGGAUGAACGCUAGCGGCAGGCUUAAUACAUGCAAGUCGUGGGGCAGCACAGUGUAGCAAUACAUGGGUGGCGACCGGCAAACGGGUGCGGAACACGUACGCAACCUUCCUUCAGGCGGGGAAUAGCCCAGAGAAAUUUGGAUUAAUACCCCAUAAGAUUUUGAGAUGGCAUCAUCUUAUUAUUAAAGAUUUAUCACCUGAAGAUGGGCGUGUCGGCUGAUUAGGUAGUUGGCGGGGUAACGGCCCACCAAGCCUACGAUCAGUAGCUGAUGUGAGAGCAUGAUCAGCCACACGGGCACUCGAGACACGGGCCCGACUCCUACGGGAGGCAGCAGUAAGGAAUAUUGGUCAAUGGACGCAAGUCUGAACCAGCCAUGCCGCGUGGAGGAUGAAGGUCCUCUGGAUUGUAAACUUC